GAAAUGCGAUACGUAAUGCGAAUUGCAGGACCUCGUGAAUCAUCAAAAUUUUGAACGCACAUUGCGCUUUUGGGUAAUGCCCAAGAGCAUGCUUAUCUGAGUGUCCCUAAACCCCACUCAACCACUGCAGCAUAUAAAAGUGCUGCAGUGAGUUGGACUCUGACUUUGCGAAGCUUCAGCCAAGCUCUGUUGAAAUUCAUUAAGUUUGUUGUUAUGUCUGGGCAGUUAGCUCUGCAGGUCUUAUACAAACGCGACAAAGGAUUCGGUAGUUGAACUUUGGUUUAAUGAUUCUUAUCUUGAGUUGCGGGAGUUAAAGACCAACCAGUCAUAAUAACAAUUUGGGUCUGCCUUGUUCGCGCUUGGCAUUCCUGCUUUGAAUGUAAUUUAUCUAUGGAUCUCAGAUUAAGUAAGACUACCCGCUGAAUUUAAGCAUAUAACUAAGCGGAGGAAAAGAAACUAACAAGGAUUCCCCU
Molecule: ribosomal RNA, 473 nt
Filed under: Thalassiosira sp. 24 LG-2014
Lineage: Eukaryota; Bacillariophyta; Thalassiosirophyceae; Thalassiosirales; Thalassiosiraceae
Description: eukaryotic LSU rRNA
Rfam family: 5.8S ribosomal RNA (bases 1-106)
Source: RNAcentral